AUGGGCGCAGCCUGAUCCAGCAUGCCGCGUGCAGGAUGAAGGCCUUCGGGUUGUAAACUGCUUUUGUACGGAACGAAACGGYKAGSUCUAAUACASUKWGCUMAUGACGGUACCGUAAGAAUAAGCACCGGCUAACUACGUGCCAGCAGCCGCGGUAAUACGUAGGGUGCGAGCGUUAAUCGGAAUUACUGGGCGUAAAGCGUGCGCAGGCGGUGAUGUAAGACAGAUGUGAAAUCCCCGGGCUCAACCUGGGAMCUGCAUUUGUGACUGCAUCGCURGAGUACGGYAGAGGGGGAUGGAAUUCCGCGUGUAGCAGUGAAAUGCGUAGAUAUGCGGAGGAACACCGAUGGCGAAGGCAAUCCCCUGGACCUGUACUGACGCUCAUGCACGAAAGCGUGGGGAGCAAACAGGAUUAGAUACCCUGGUAGUCCACGCCCUAAACGAUGUCAACUGGUUGUUGGGUCUUCACUGACUCAGUAACGAAGCUAACGCGUGAAGUUGACCGCCUGGGGAGUACGGCCGCAAGGUUGAAACUCAAAKGAAUUGACGG
This 550-nucleotide ribosomal RNA is filed under the name uncultured Rhodoferax sp. RNAcentral describes it as "bacterial SSU rRNA". It matches the Rfam family "Bacterial small subunit ribosomal RNA", at positions 371 to 916 of the family's 1533-position model. The record is from RNAcentral. Lineage: Bacteria; Pseudomonadati; Pseudomonadota; Betaproteobacteria; Burkholderiales; Comamonadaceae.